CAGGAAGGAGCGGAGGAUCAUGGGUAGUCAUUAGUGAGCUGGAGGUGAUGCUUUUUAUUGUUUAUUGCUAAUUCAUCUACUUUUUGUGGAAGCUGUAUCCUGAUGCGAUCCUGUGGGGAGGAAUUUAAGUGGAACUCCCCUGAACAGUUUGAAGGUAGAGGAACCUCGUUAUUUUCGGCAUUACUGACUGAAAUAUAAAGUUAUUGCAUCGCCUACAUUUAAUUUUAUCCCAAAAUACUGUUUUGAAAAAUACCCAAACAAGGCGUACCUCAAAAAAACGUUUGUUCUCGCUUCAAAAACUUCCAAUAAGCCUCUGAUAUCUGAUAGUGCAUGUUUGCUUCGUCACCCAGUGUUUUAUAUUUCAGGGAACACUUUAGACCCAUCAAUCAAGUGUCUGCUUUGUUCUCUGCAGUAAUGUACUCACUCACACUCCCCAGACAAUGAUCUGAAAGUUAGAAAAUGUUGAGAUAGGCUGUUCCAGUAUUUCAGAUCUCUACAAUUCUUCAAAAGAAGAGCAUACACACUUCUUUGGCUGAGUGUGUUGCAUUGAUUUCUGCUCCCUGAGAUGGUUUUUAGCUUCAUGUUAGAGUCUGGCACCUUCGCUCUCCAGAAGCCCAAGAGUGUGGUGAUUAGGAGCUGCUCUUCUUCUUCUUCUUCUUUGACUGAACUAUUGUUAAAGCCCCCUUUGUGUUGGAGUCUGCCUUCAUGAGGAGUUCACUGGCUGGCCAGCCCUCAGGGGUCACAUGCACCUUGCUGGCUGCUGAGGGGAUUGCUUCGGGGCAGAGGGAUUGGGGAGAGAUCAGAGACAAAGUGAGAGAUGCUGGUGGGCUCUCGCAGCUCUGUAGUAAGCAAAAUUAGCUUCAUGGUGACCUCUUUUUUUUUUUUUAAGCUCCUUUUAAUGUGAGGGGCCCUCAAAGGUAGCUUUGAUAAGUAGAAACACAGAUUUUUAUCAUAACUGUUCUCUUUUAAAAUUAUUAUCAUAAUUAGUAGAAGUGGUAGUAGGAGAAGUCGAAGUAGAGUGGGUGGUGUUGAGUUGACUUUCUCCACAGGUCAAAAUCUAUCAUUCCAACAGCAAACAAUCACGAGUAGAUACAAGUCAAGAGCAUCGCAGACUGUGAAGAGAAACUCAUCGUUUCAGGAACUGUGAUGAAGCUUGUGUUGAGCUACUUUAAAAGACUAAAAAAAUUAAGGUCAACGAACCCCAAACAAAUUCACCAUCUCAGAGCCAUGUGUCAUUAGUUCUUCUGACAGCCAGAGCCAAAACUUCACCAAGAAAACACACCAACCACACUGAGGUAGUUACUUUUCUAGGUGUAAUUUAUUCUAGUUAACGGACUCUUAUUUUCUCCAGCUUGAGAUCAUUUGAAUCAUUUUGUUUAAUCAGAAGUAAAUGUUUAAAAGAACAGUUUUUUAGUUGGAGUCCUAUUUGUUAUUGUGCCCGUUCUCUCUAAGGUUACAAAUGGUUACUGAGAUUGUUUUUUUUUACCACAGUGAAGUGAUGUAUCACAGUCAUUCAGGGUUCAUGUACUCGGGUUGUGGCAGAAAUUGAACACGUUAGAGGCAGCAGACUUAGUCCUCAUGUGCUUGCUUGACCCACACCUCGGGGUAUACUUAACUAAAGGUACAGAGUGUCAAAAUGGGAAAAUUUAGUGACGCCUGAUCCCAGACGAAAAAGCUCUGCUCGCUCAACACUUCAGCUGCUCAGACAACUAUGGCUCUCAAGGACAAGACGCUCCUGUGACGCAUGAUAAGUAUGAACCUGAGUUUGUCAGGCUUUUACUACAAAAGGAUGUCGAUUGAAACAAAGUGGUUUGCGCACGACAACAACUCUUUUGUUCUUCUUUGUCUUCCAAGCAGUACCUUUCAUACCUUCUCAACCCUCUAGGCCUGGGUAUUGAAUUUUCUGACUGACUGUUCUCUCUCUCUUUUUUUUUUUUACCAUCUCUUAUUACCCAUUCGUCUUUUGUGUAUCCAUGCCCACUCUUAUUUCUUUCCCUGCCUCAAGCUUGCACUGUCCCACCCUUAACUCUGCACUGUCACUGCCUCAGCCUUCCUCUCUUUCUGCACUGGAUUAGAAUUUGGUACAAUUUGUCUGAAAGGCUUUUUUUCCUUUUGUCUUAUUUUAUUAUUUUAUUGUGGUUGUUCAAAAGCAGAACUUUUCCUAGAGUGUGAAGAAAGAUUGUAGGUCAAGCCAAUUCUGCGUUCAUUCUUGAUAGUUCAAAAGUACCGCUCAGACCACAGUGGGAGGAAAGAUGUUAUUUCCUGCCUGACACAGUCGCUGUCCUGAAUUGGACCUCAAAAUCUUCUUAUUUGGUACACUUGCACGCAGAGUUAAGUCGAGCUACAGUUAUAGCUAAAUUAGGCAUCAAACCUGGUUUUGUGAACAAGCACCGUGUAAGAAUUGAAUUAUUGACAGGAGCAUGUCCACCUCCGCCACAGCAGAUGGCAACAUUGUCCCCUUUCAGCUCAUUUCUAUCAGGUUUUCUACAGAGGUCAUCUUACGAUUGACCUUUUACAUAUCAAAACAGUUAGCAAAAUGCAUUAGCAAGGGGCCAACAGGAUGUCCUUCAAACAGUGAGAACACCAACUAUAGGAUGGGAAAAUUUCAUCCUUUACGACUUCUUACUCUUUAAUUUCUCCAUUAAUUCUUUGUUGUUCCAGAGAAACUGUAGACUGUAACCAAAGACUGAAUUGUCUUAAACUAUUUACAUAAAUCUUACUUUAACACUUUUUAUUAUAACUGAUAUGUAAAUGUCGAGGAAUUUCAACUCUUUUCGCCCAGCUUUGUCAUACUCAAACUACUUUAUGAAAUAUUAAUGCACUGUAAGUUAGCCCUUUAAAUAGUGACUGACUCUGCAAUCAUGCAACUGCAACUGUCCAGUAAUGUAAACACUAUUGAGCUGUGUGCCUCGAUUAUGGUCUGAAUCAUAAAUUUUGGAUUUUUGCGUUGGAUCAGCAUCCCGCUGUAUACGAGUCUGUAGAGCAAAGCGCUGUACAAUGAAAAGUGAUGCAAUGAAGCACAUCUUAAAUGAGUGAAACUCUAUCAUCAAGGUCGAAACCGUUUUGUUUUGUUUUCUGCCGAGGUUGAUUAGGUAAGGCUAAUUUUUCCUUGCAAAACUGCCAUGGCAACAAAUCAACAAGCGAGACCAUAAACAAGACUAACACACAGGAGGGUAAUAUUUCAUACUUAGUAUUUUUUUGACUAUGACGAACAGCAGGGUACAUUUAUUAUUAUAUAUUACCCUGGUAUACAUUCUGCAAGGUCUUUCAUCCCCUUGGGCAUCGGUAUAACUUCUUCCCUUUAUCGCUCCUCCUUUAACAACAAUGUAAAGAAAUGGUCUUUUUUUAUCAUAAUUCCCAUAUUUGAUUCUGCGCGUCUCAAAAGAACACACUGUUUCUUAUCCUUCAUCACAACUGACAGACAAAGUAAAAAUGCAUCGCACUGAAGCAAUCCACUCUUGACUGGCUAUGGCUCCCAUGAGGGAACACACUCCCCACAACAAUGAGCUACUUAGACUGCCAGAGGACACGAUGCCUGCGCAAAGAAGAGAGAUAAAAGACGAGUUAGGUAUGGGAAGGAUAGAGGGGGGAGGAUAGAGGGGCGGAGGGGAGGUGGGAGAUGGAUUUAUCAAACAGAUGUGAGACAUAUUGCGUACCGGGAUAAAUAAAGAUAUUGUCAACGGCAUCCAAAUGCUAAAUCAAAGUGCACACAGUGGGAAUUACAUUGUAAUUAAAGAGAUGAGCAGUGGUGCGCGAACAUUUACGAUGACGCUCAAAUGGAUCACCAGUGGAGUUGAAGUGCAGACAGGUAGAUUGUUCAGAUGUGAUGACUCACUGAGUGGUCAGACAUAUGAGGAAAACAUAGAAGUGGUAAGAGCUGAUGCUUAAAUUGACAGUAAAGAGCAUGAAAAAUAAUUUCCGAUUACUCCGUUUAUUCAUUGAUAAAUACUUCCUGCAUGUUUUAUUUAAAGUAAAAGAACUUAUCAUGUAGAUAAGAGCUGAUCAUUAUCUGUAAAAGGUCUAUUUUCUAUCUGGGCGGUCUGGCAGCUUUGAUUAUGCCUUAAACAUCAGAAAUGGUAAAGUAAUAACUUUUUAAAGUUUUAGAAACUUUCUUAACUUCCAUUUUUCUUUGACGGCGCCCUAAGUUUUUGCUGUACUGAAUUAAAGGAGGAAAUAUUGCACCCUUAAUUACAAUACAAUAAGAGACAAUAGAAUAUAUGAUAUAACAUGGCACAACACUUUGCCAUAAGAUUUUUGGGAUCCUUGAAAUGGCCUGUGAAUGAUACAGAUAUUUUUCACCUGGGUUGGGCUAACUGGGGUUCCAACUUAUUCAUGGGUGGCAGGAGUGUGAGCACCCACAUAUGUUUAGUUUGCAUUUAUUCACUAAUUUUGUUCCUGAAAAUUAUUUCUACUUUAAUUUUGAACAUUGAGGAAAUAUGUUUAAAGACCCUCUCUGAUAAAAAUCGUGUUUUUCUUGUUUUUUAUAUGUUCAUAUGGCAUUUUUCUGAUGCUACAGGACAUAUCAUGAGAAAACCAAAAUUGCUUUUCUGAGUAUUUCUUCAUUCAAAUCGACGUGAAUCUCUGGCAGACCCAAACGGCAGGUUCAGAUACACUGAGAUUUCAUACGUAACCAAUCCAAGCGCCGCCCCCAGAGCCCUGCUAUGUAGGCCACACUCUGCAUAUAGAGGAGAAAAACAGAGGAACGAUCGCGGAACAAGCAUGUGUGUUAGCAGAUUGCGAUGUUUGUAAGCUAAUUAUGAUAUCUUUCAUCAUGUCUCCAAAGACAUUAGUGUCCAAGAACUAAAUUGGUCCUAUCUCACCUGCCACUUCUACCACACCGGCAAUGUUAGGCUACAAGAUAGCGAAGUGAAGAGGAGUGUGCAGAGCAGCGCUGUCUCCGCCCAUGACUCAGUGGCAAAUUGCUAAUGAUCUACUGGAGCUCUGCAGAAGAAAAGCCCUUGAAAAUGACACAGGUAACGUGAUUUUUGGUAAAAACUUCAUAAUCACAAUCUAAAGACCACUGAGAACCAAGUUGUAAAAAAAAAAAAAAAAAACGAUGGGAGUGGAACUUUAAGUUGAAAAAUAACAACUUCCAACCUCUGGCAGCUGAUCACGGUUAGUGGACAAGGACAAGAAUGUUUGAUACUUUAAAGUAUAUUUUCCUGAUACACUUCUCUAACCUUACCUUAAUGGGACUGACAUUAACUUGACUAAAGUGAGUUUUAAUUGUCGCAUCUGUGUAUUCAGUUUAGUUACGGUCAUGAUUAUUUCUUUCAAAGUUAAAAUUAAAAGCAUUUCAUGAAAAUCCCCAAAGCAAAAUCUUUAGUCAUUUCAAGCUGACCAUAAUGAGAUCAGUGGUAUGGAAAUAUUGCAACGAACCAGUGAACUUUAAGUACAGAGAAGAUGCAAAGUCAAACAUUUUUCAGAGAGACAUCAAACUUUAUCAUUAAAUAUGACUCUCCACUGAGCCACACAGGGAGACUCUCUCUGCCUGUCUGAACUCAAGAUCUAUAGUGACCUUGCAAAGGACUAAGCAAGCAGAGAGAAUGAAUACAUUCACACAGUUACACUUCAUGUGAGAGGUUGAAUCAGCAUUUUGUCAGAUUAUAUUGAUGUAAAUGUUUCAUCCUCUCUUUAUCAUCUUUAUCCCCUCCUGACCUCAUAAUACAUCCUCACCACACACAACAAUGGCUGCUAUCUCCUCAGGCUGUCAUGUGACUGAGAAUAUUUCACCGUGUCUAUUGAAGAACUUCAAUUACACUGACAUUUCAAUGACCUUGACAGAGUGAGGUAAAAAUCAAUAGGUGCCCCCGUUUUUAUUUUUUUUCCCCAGUCAAUACAGGUCACUCUUCUCUCCUCUCCCAAGGCUCUAAUUCUUUGUUUGAUAACGGAUUACUGAGCUUUAUCAUCGUGCCGACGAAAUAAAAGACACCCAUAAAGUGGAGGUACAGAUUUAUUUAUCUCUUCCUGGAUAAUUUGGUCUAUACAUCAACCCUUUUGGGCGCCACACACAGGUGCAUGUAACAGACAUGUUGAGGAGUAGUAGGUAUUGUCAAAUGUGCAGUAAAGGGACAUCUAUUGUGUGUUAGUCUUGGCAGCCUCCAUGUGGAUGAAGCAGUAUAUCAACAAAUAAAAAUGCAAACAAAGGCCGCACAGUUUCAGCGUUAAAAAUCCCUAUAAAGAAAUGAUCAAUACUCUGGCUGAUGGUCUUAUUUGCGGUUGCGGGGCCAUAAAGGUGCAUCAGUAUAGAACUCCUCAUAGGAGCUCUGAGGUUUUAUAGUCAUUCUCAUUUAAUGCAGAUGCCAGCUUUAAUUUGAAUUUACUGGAAAAUUAUAAACAAGGGAUUUUUAAUUUGAAGGGGUCAAUGUGUUAUGGUGUGCAGCACAAAUGUCUUUAUUUUCCACCUCUCUAUCAAGCUCUCCAUCAUGCACACUCAAAUAUACACAGAAACAUGCACACACACAGACAUGCUCACACACAACUACGCAGUAUUUUUUUUCAGUGCUCAUAACUGCUAACUUUAAAUUAGGGUGACCAUAUUCUGAAUACCCCAAAAGAGGACACAACUACGCAGGGGCGGAGUCACAGAGUCGGGCAUAGUUAAUUUUGAGAGUUUUUCGGGUCGGGUUGAGUGUUUUUACGCGCUUCUAUUUUAGUAUAUCCAUGCGGCACAAACUCAAAAACCUCCAUACAAAACCCUGGAGAUUUGAAGGAUAUACUCCCUCAGACAAGGCCGGACAGCCCCCAAAAAAGAGGACAUGUCCAGGUAAAAGAGGACGUAUGGUCACCCUUUUUAAAUGCUACCAGCCAAACCCUCAGAUACUGUAUUGCUUGAGACCAAACCGAAGCCGUUUGACUCAGCAGUGAAAACAAGUCAAUAAAGAUUAAAAGCUACUCCUCUAUGAUGUGAACUACACCGUAUGUCAUCUGAUAUUAGAUCCUGUCCAGAACUGUUACUUCUGUUUCUGCUGUUCAGAGGAAUUGUCUCAGGAGAUUAACAUCAGUCCAUACAUGUAUAACUUAAACAGAGGCCUUUGUGUGCUUUCUGCAUCAUUAGAGGCACAGUAGGAGAAAGCCAUUAGGGUUAGGUUUUUGCCUGGUGUACUGAAGUAGAAAGGCUGCGUCUGUUUCUCAAAGGGAGGACACACUGAUUGGUUUGAAUAAAGUUACACCCAAAAUACACCAAUAAGUAAUGAGAAACUUAAUCCAACCUUUCUGUGCUGUUCGCCUCAUUUAGAGCCCAGAUUUUGUCCUGAUUAAAAACCAAGAAUUGAUUGGAUAUGCCUCAGUUUGAUUGUACCAUGUGAAUUACACCAGUUAGAUAGGGAAAUCAGUAUAAACAAGGAAAGGAAAAGACCCAACAAAGCAGGCGAAAACAGGCAAAAAGACCCUUGGUGAUUGUCAAAAACAUGGACACGGUCUCAAUGACGUCAUUUGUUGAUUUCCAAAGUGGCAUUGCCAAGCUCAACAAUGGCAGUCAUCAUAUUUGCUGACUCCAGCUAACUUCUGACUAACCCAGAGAAUAGGAAAAAAAAUAGUUGAAUCUUUCUCCUCCUUGCAAACAGCUAGCAAAAAAGAUGAUUACGUUGUGCAAAUCUUAAACCCCGUUGUUAAAAUGUGCAUUUUCAUUAUGAGAUUUACUUAGUUUAUGCAGCCGACCUUAAAUGGACAAUUGAGAAACUGCAUAUUUUUGCACAUUCACACUGGCCUAAUUUUUUAACACCGAUUGCUGCUGCUUUUGAAAAACACACUGACUGUCACAGGGGAUGUCCAGAGGGUGAGAAGGAGUUGGAAAGACUUAGAAAAUGAACUGGAACACCAAAUACACAUGGGGUAAUUGGACAAAAGUAGGACUAACAAGGAAGAAUCAGAAAGGUGGGAAAAGACACUAAAGCAUCGACAUACAUGAGAAAUGAGAAGUGAGAAUCACAAACCAAAACAUGAUUAAAACACAAUUCUUAUUCACUAUUGACCACAAAGCUGCUCAAGGGUAUGAAGGAUGCCUGGUUAUAUAGCAGCAGUUUCACCAUAUCAUUUGAGGCACGACCACUUGUUUUCAAAGUAUUCCUCACAGUGGAGUGUGAAGUUUUAGGCUAAACUGGUCCAACUGAGUUCAAAUUCGGCCAAGAGACUCCAGCGCCAUGGAAACAGGCCCCAGUACAGAGCACCCACCAUCUUCAUCAUCACAACAGCAGCAACAAUCCAGAAGCAACUGUCUGCCAAACUAAACCGCUUUCAUUAAAAAGCAGUGCAAAAUAUGAAGCUUGGCCCCAUUCAGCAGGACGGGUUCCUUCUCUGGCGAACAUGUGCCAAUAUUAGGAGAUUUGCAUAUUCAGACUCAUUAUCGAAGUCAUUACAGAGUCCCCAAGACAAACUAACAACACUGUGACAAAGACUUGCAGCUGCCAGGACUCUGUCCAGUGUUGUUGAUGGCCUCACCUCCGAGGAGUUUUACAGUUUUACACUUAAUAUGCCCACUAACUGUCUGUUCGAGCCAGCAGAACAAAAUUGGUCAUUUAUAGAGAUGCCCAAAAUGAGCAGAGUGACCUAUUUUUCUGACAAAUGAACCCUGUGACCUCUUGUUAUUGUGCAAAAAUUGACAAUUUUCCCCAAGUAGCUUUGGAAAAAGUACCUGUAAAAGGUGUCAAGGUUGGAAAAAAGGUUUCUUGUUGGUUAGUUUAAGAGUAAAACUUCUACACACUGUGUCCUAUCUUACACCACGAGUUGUUGCAGUUUUUCUUACAGACUCAUGGUCAUUUAUUUUUCAUUUUGCAACACAAAAUGCCUGUAACCUUUACCAUCAUGUUUCACUAGAUUUAUCUUCCUAUUGAGACUCUUUUUUUGCAGAAAUCACAAAAUAUUAUCUUCAGACUCACUGCUAGAAGAGAAUUUUAGUCUUUUAUAACACGGUUCAGUCUGACACAAUCUUGACAGCAGAAGAGCUUUGACAGUCGCAUUGUUGGCUGUUGGAUCAGCAUCAAACAGACACACUUCAUGAGCCACAAGCUGGUAAAACAGUUUUAAAAAUUUGGACAUUUUGAUAUCAGUUUGUAGAGACUGAAACAGCUAAGAGAGAGCAUCAAUGUCAUUUUGAGUAAACCAAAGUGAAACUAUACUUGUAUUGUUUGCAUAAAUGACAGGUUUGUGAGCAGAUGUCCAUAAUGCUGAAACUUUUGAUGUGAUGGUUGUUUUGAGCUAGGUUUAACAUUUAAAGACUUAAGUUUGAGACUUAGACUCUGAUUAUAUUCAAUUCUCACUCUAACGUAACUGGAGACUUUAAGCUUUUAAAUUUGCACUAUUUGUCAUUUUAACAAGCCGCUAAGAGCUUUCCUGAACUUCAGUGGAAGAUAUUUUUUAUUAAAUUACAUUUUAUGAAUCUAUGUAAAUAUCAGCCGAGAAGUUUUGCCUCCCUGUUAUUAAAGGUUAAAAAAAAUGUACACCGGUAUAUAACAUCUGAAAGAUGCUUUAAUGGAAAUUACACAAAAGUGAUCGCAGAGGCUGGGGGAUAAAUUAGUGCUGUUCAUUUAUGUGAGUACAAACAUACUUCAGACCCACAUUACAAAAGUCAGUGCGCCAUUUUGGCCACUCCAGACAAAAGAAAAAUCUAUUUUAAUCUCAAUGCAAAGGUGGGUAUAGACAUAAUAUGAUGGUGUCAAAUAAAUGGGGUUGCAUAUUUUCAACCAUCAGGAACCACGCUUUUAUGACUGUACCAUCAUCAUUUUUUUAUUAAAACUGUGAGCGGCUUGGAUAGGACUUGGCAUGACCUUCAAAAACUUAAAAUUUGACUGUACUGGACCGGAAAAAUGUCUUUCUCCCAACUCUACAGUGUCUAUUUGCGUAGAAAUGGGCAAAUUGUUCAUUUGGGUUAAAUUCCAUCUUUCACUCUAUAAAACUGUGUCAAAAGUUAGCGGAUGAAAGCAAACUUGUACAAGAAAUGAUAACUUCAUUUAUUAAAGCUAUGUGGUCUGAAAGAGAGAAAGUUUAAAAUGCAUGUCUCUUUUUCAGAAAAAGCUGCCAGGAGUAGGUGUGAGAAAAAGUGAUCAACUCUGCACUACCAAAACAGUGUUAUCUUUAUAGCAUGAAAUUCUGGAUGAGAGAUUCAUGUAAUAGUUGAAAUAAGCAGGAUGAGAAUUUAAAUUGACCAGCAAAAGAGUUAAGUAACACCACUUCACUGCUUUGUCCACAGGGGGCGCCAAAAUCAACACACUCUAAAACUUCCUCACAGGAACAACAAGUAAUAUUUCAGUUAUAGUCUUAUCCAACUUGCGUAUAUUUAUCACAUACAAAACAUAAUAAUACAUUGUUAGUUCAUGAAAGGUGAAAAUGUAUUAAUAGUCAGGCUCAUUAUUGCUGUAAUUAUCAUAUCACAGUUGUCAUCUACCCUGGUGUAGGUAGAAUGCUUCAUUCUCAGUUAAUUAGCACACAUUAUUUUGGAUACCUGACACCAGGGAAUACAGGUCAUACUCUAACUUUUUGUCUAUGAAGUUUACCAUUUGAAUCUCCUCUCUCGCUGCUCUAAUUCAACAAAGAUGUAAAGUACUUUGGGUUGUUUGUUUCCUUGUUAGUUAUGUUUGUAUAUUUUUGUAAGCCAUUACAGUAGUUCACACACAAAAGAUUCUGCUUAGUCUAAAUUUCAUGGGACACUGCUGUUGACUUCCUGUUUAGUAUUCAUCCAUCUGAGGCUCCUUUCAUUUGAAUACUAGGUGCCAAGUGCAGUUCCCCUGUUCAUGAAUAACUCAUCUUUUACCCAGGGGUUUUUGUCUAAUCUUAGACAUUUAAAGGGAAUGCAGAGAUACAAAUGGAAUAUGUGGGUUUAGUUUAAUUUAUAUGAGCAGACUUGUUCGUUCUUCUUAACAGUUUCAAGGCCAAAUUAAUAUUACAGACUUAAAUGGGAACCUUCCUCCUUUAAUGCAGAACUGAAACAAGACCGCCUAAACCUUUUCUUUACAUAAGCAGGGGUGGACUUCAUUAUAAAGUCAAGUAGGCAACUGCCGGGGGGUCUUGAUUUAGGAUAUUAAUUAAAUGUUGGAUAAAACAUAUUCUUGUUUUCAUUAUCUGCUUGGAUUAUUUUCUCUACUUUUCUUUUCCUCUCUGACUGUACAACAUCCGAACAUUUGACUGAGUUUAAAGUUCACCUGAAUCAAACCAAGAAUCUCAGACAGUGCUUCAAUAGGUUAUUCCAGUAAAGCCACUUGGAAAAAUGUUCCCUCACAAAAUUUGUGAAAUCCUUUUACCACCCGAGAUACAGCCAAAUACUUUGAUAUAUGCGACUAUCCCUUAAGUGUUGGUCAGCCAAGGGGAUACCCAAAAAACUGCAGCUUUGCAAGUGUCCACACUUAAAGCUGCCUCCACAAACCAAGGAAUCCCCAUUAGGAUUAGUAUCAAAUGUCCAUUUUUAAACCAGAAUUAAACAUGUUUACAGCCUCGAUCAAUAAAUGGUUUCAGUCUUAAGAACUAGUAAAUAUGCUUAAAACUCACCAUUUGGAAUAUAUCACAGCAAAAUCAUGCAUAUCAAUCAUAAUGCUAGAUGAGGCUGAUUUGUCUGAAAGGUGAAUAUUGUAGCUGUUGACCAGGUGCUAGAGGCCCACCUAAACUCCACCUCUUUCCCUGUUUUACAUCAAGCCAAGAUGGAAACAUCAUUUCAAAUAUGGCCUCCUCUACCUUUGGGAAUCAUAAUAACUCUUCAGAGACCAAUGCAGAAUGCUUUUGACACUUUCUGUAGUUACCAUGAGUGAAGCUGCGCAAACAAUGCAGAACCAUUCAAUAUGAAAUAUGGCCUUAAUAUUAUCACAUUUUCACCCCAUGGUAAUGGUGGAAAAAAACAAACAAAAUUCAGCAGCAUAUCUGAGGUAAACUUGGAAAAAGGAGCACAAUCAGUUAAAUUAAGUGAAGCGACGCGAUACUUCACAAAGUUCACCAAUGAGCACAACUCACCAACUUCUGUGUUUUGUGUCACUAUCCUCAUGACAGAAACUCCUUCAUAGAGUUUCCAUCCAUCAUUCCUUCUCUCACACAUACAAACACAUCUACAGGCAAUUCAGAGGGACCAAUUAACCUGCCAAGUAUGUGAGAGAGAUCGCCCCGUACAAUGAUUGACUGUGAUGCUUUUAUUUUGACAUCUUUACUGUCUUGUUUAGGGAAAUGUUCAGUGUAUCAGCACACAUGUAGAGACAUAAACUCUGGUUUUGGAGACAUAAUAAAUCUUUGAUCGUCUCUUUCAGGCGUGGCUGACAGUGUUUACACAGGCUGCUACUGCUUCUUUGUUUUCACUUCAUUUUAUGAUGGGUGGCAACCAUCGUAAAGAGCCACCACCAUCCACCACUGUGAACUAAUCGAUUACAUGAUAUUACAGGAUGCCUGUUUAUACUGCAGUAUCACUUUGCUUAGAGAUGCACUGAUCAAUUUUUUCCCAAUCCUAUCCGAUACCGAUACCUGGGCUGAGUGAUACCGAUCCAAUACUACUGUUAAAUGAAUGAACUGUAUACCUUACCCUGUGAGUGAAGGCAUCGGGCUUGACAUUAGCCUUGUUAAAAAAAAAGGUAACAAAUUAACACAGAUUGUUACGGCUGUGUGUUUGUUUUGCGUGUGUUUUUCCCCUUUUGUCUCUCCAUAGCUGCCCAGGUGAAAUCACUUGAGUGCCGAUCAGACUCAACUGGCGCUGAGAGUCUAAAAGCCCAGAGCUGCCUGCAGUCUGGAGAGGCAUUUGGUGGGGAACUGCUGCCCUGCUGCCUCUCAAUAGUGUUGUGGGUGCUUUGUGUUUAGUUCGAAAUUUUGUUAUUUUGUCACAUUAAAUCACGUGUUAAACUUUUGAAGGUGUCCAUGUAGAUUCUCAUUCAUCCAGGUCAUGGUUAUCUUGAAGACUUAAAAAAAAGGCAACUGGACUGUGUAGAGUUAAGAAGACGUUUCGCCUCUUAUCCAAGAAGCUUCUUCAGUUCUAAAAGUGCUAGUGUCAGGAGCAGAUAUUUAUCUUACUGGAGAAGGGGGACAGUAACGACUGGGAGGAGUUGAAAAGAAUGGGUCGUAGAAACCCAUCUCUCGGAGUGUCCCCCCUAAGUCGUUAUCCUGAAAGGGUCGUUAGCGACUCCUAUCAUGUGACCACAUGACUCAUGCCACCUGAGUCAUGUGGUUCCUGGUGUGAAUGUUUGUGGAGCUUUCUGGGGAGAGAGCUGAGAACUGCAUUGUAAGUGCCAGAGAGAUUGUGCCUGAGUCCACCCCCUCUGUUCAGAGAAGGUUUCUCCAGCCUGGUAAAGAUGGCUUCUUUAACUCCUCUUUUGAAGGUGUUUUGUUAAUUUAAUGGGUCAAAAGGUGAGGAUGGUUGUUAGUCCCAUAGGGCCGCCUUGGGGUGGGGCGUAACAAAUGGGGGCUCAUCCGUCAGUCAUAACACACCAAACGAUUUACUUAAUAUUAUUUAUUAACAAAAAUCAAAUUGCACAUCAGCACACAGCAAAAAGUAGUAAGACUUCAAUGUAUUAAAAGAAAAAAUAAUUAAGAGAAAAAAAAAGACUGGAUUGGAACGCUGGAUUGGCGUCAUUCAUCCCAUAUCCAAUCCAAAUAUAUGAUUGGUGCAUCCCUAAUUUUGCUUUGUUUAAAAAGGCAGUUAUCAUCAAUAAUGGUUAAUUGUGACAGCGCUAAUUGGAACAUCUCAUAAGACCUUUAAAAACACAUGUUGCAAAUUUUGAGGCAGUAGGAGUUUAGUCUGUAGAGAGUUGGGCUCUGAGGGUUGCCGACACAAGUCUCUGCACAGUCAAGUCUCUGGAAAUUGCACUGGUGAGACAACAUUGGUUACCGUGAGCAUCUGAGAGACAAAUGGCUGAAAAAAACAUUUGGUCAAAUUUUCAUUCUCAGUAGUUUAAAGUCUUGUUUCUGCUCAGCCGACAAUCCCAACCUUAUCCCGGUACAGACUUUCCUCAUCUUCUAAACUUCUGCAGCACAUUUAACCAAAUAAAGAGCAAAAGGGUGCAGAAACGACACAAUACAGCAGCUGAAAUAAAAAAAAACAGUACUUCUAAAACACUAAAGUAAAAUCUAGAAACGCUUAAAGCUAUAUAGGAGAAAUGUAUGCCAGUGAACAGAUAAUUAAACAUCAGCACAUGAAUCCUUUGCAGUAAUCUCUUAAAGACAAAAAUACUAAAUAAGAUAUGGCGAGAAAGAGGCAUGUGAGAGGCCCUGAGGUUCGCCUGAGGCUGUCAGGCUGAUCAGUUCAGCAUUGAUUUCGGACAGAUCUCAUACAGCACCAGAACUUUCUUUGAGAGGAACUCGUAAACUCGUUCAUGCUGUUAAAGUGGAAUAAAAUGUACUCAUAUGAGUUGGAAACCAUCCAAGAGUGAUUCAUCAUAAAGAGAGCAUUUAGUCACUAAAAGUGUAUUUAGACUCCGACUGUGAUGUACUGCAGCCCUGUUUGAAGGACUAUAAUGAAGCUUUUUCAAGAACAGUGCAUUCAAGGAUGCGUUAGUAGAAAUGUUUUACAUGAUAACAAGUCGAGAGAAGAAUCAGUGAGGACACAAUGAUAUUCAUCUGUCCUGAUAUUCACAUGGAUCUACAGCCUCCACUGUACUGAAGAUGAAACCCUCAAAGUCUCUCAAAAAGAGGUUUUGAAAUUAUCAAACUGUUUCAAAAUUAACAUAUCUCACUUUUCAGUUUCAACAUUUGAUAUAAUGGAUUUAUGCUAUUAUGGUUAAAUAAAGGCUCUAAAUGGUUUUCAAACAAAUUUUUAAAAAUAAAUAACACUUUCAAAAGACCUUUUUAUUUUUUGGUUUCCUUGGUUCUGUUCUGUCAUAAUGUGGCACAAAAUUUUACUUUUAGUCCAUUUUAACAACUCAUAAACUUCUUAUUUUAUCUAUUUAUUUAUUCAGGGUCAGUUUUGUUGCUCAUCUUCCUGCAUUUUAUUUUCCUCUUUAAGCAUUUUAUAUCUUAUUUUCUCAUUAUUACCCUUUUUUUUUUGCUCUUCAACAUUAAUUCUACCUCCAUCACUGCCUCAUCUGGCUCCUGUCCUUGUUUUGUGUUGUUUUCAAACUGCUCUUUAUUGAUUGGGGGAGGGUUUUUUCUUCCUGUGUUUGCUGUGAUCACUGUGACUUUGCACCCAAUUUAUCCGUCAAGUUUCACAGCUGUGGGAACUCCUGUUUUUACACAUUUCUACAGAGGAAAGGAGUGUUUUUUUGCAGGUCGGCUUCGGUUGAUUUGAUUUCUUGCUAAAAACCGAGGUCUGCCCAGAUGUUAGAAAAUCAACCUGUAACUUGUUGUUAGCUUGCAGCUUUUCUGGGAAGAUAGACAGUAACAGUGUAGAGUGUUUCUUUUUUUUCACUGUAAAAGAGCUCAGAUAAUCCAGUGCCAGCUUUAAGAUCCUGUUAGAUGCUUUAUCACAGGAAUUACCCGCCACCACACCUGAAAGAGAGCAGGCUUGUUCUUUGCCCCUGUUGACUGAGAGCUUACCUGCCGUCACCACAGUGGUCUCCUCUCUCUGUGCCCAUCUGUGCUCUCCCCGCUUUCUCUCUUAGGUUAGGCAGCAGAUAUCCAUGCAUCAGAGACUCCUCUGAGGCGCCUCAUGGCUUCGAGUCUUCCAAACGGGUGCAGCUGUCCUGGCAGGAUGCCGCAGAGUUAAGCUCUGAUCUGGCAACACAAGAGGCCCUCUCUCUCUCUUUCUGCUGUGGCUUCUUUAGGUUUCUGCUCACAUGACUCCACACACUGCCGCUCACUGUCCACAGGGAAACUCAGCCUGAAAGAUUCAGGAGAUGCCGGGUACUGAAUCAGUUUAGAGAGUGUCACGUAACCGUACCAGGAGAUAAGAAGGCACGUAUGUCACUUAACAUGUGAACUUCUUAUAAUAUCAUCUCCAUUAUAUAUGAAAGCCUAUUUUACAGAAUAAAAUCCAUAUUUAUUACAAGUAGAGGGACAGCUCUACAGUUGAAGAAUGAGGCCAGGCUAAUAGGAGGCAGAAAAGUGUGAGUACAUGUGCCAGGGGCAUCCCUUAUGUCGUUGUUUUUGUUAAUCUUGUUGCUGUACAGACGUCUGCGUCAUCUACGCCACUUCGGUGUUCCUGUUUGUGCACUAGAAAGACUCUGAUUCUGUUCUGUUCAGCUUGAGUCUCCGGAAAUUUCCAGUUAAGACAUCUCCUACAAGUAUCACAUCGAUUCCUUAGUGGAACAUUACGUACAAGUUCCCUGAUCUAUUAUCAUUCAGGUGACUGGAAAUACUUCCUCCACAGGCUCAAAGUUCUCAAAGCUUUCACAGUCUGAGGUGAAAUAACCUCUUACUGAAUUCUUUUCUCUCACUCUUGUUCCAGUUUUAAAGUAUUGCUGUUUGAUCAUCUCUGCAGGUAUUAUCAAAGGUGUAAAUGAAUGUCGAAGCAGAUGUUGCAUCAGGCUUUUUAAAUCUCUAACAUACCUGCGUCUACUUAAAGAUAAAUCCGGCAGCUGAACUGACUUUACGUGUUUGUUUGGCAGCUUUUUUUGUUUUGUUUUCAUCUUAAAAAAGAAAGUUAGCUUAUCUCAACACAAAGAUGAAGAUUGAAAUCAUUAGAUUAUCCUCUUUUUAAAGAAAUCCAGUCCAUCUUUUUACAAAUCCAUCAGUUUUUCCACUGAUUCACACAUUGCAAACUCAUUUAUUACAGGUGACCCACCGCUCUCUCCUGCAGAUAAGAGAGGAAGUGAUAAAUCUACUUUGUGUGAGAUUGUUAUCAUUACCAGCAAAAAGUUGUGACAUUGAAAAUCAGAUCAAAGAUAAUCAUAUACAGAGCAGACGAGAGAAGAUAAAACCGUUUUUAGUGUCUGACAUUUAAAGCGUGUGACUUUAACUUGAUGAUGCAGAGGAAAGUUUCGACUUGCAGACGUUUACUGUUGGUAUAAAACUGCGUCUGAGAUUGCACUUGAAACGUCAGUAAAACAAGCUGUGAAGUGACAGCUGUCAGAUGAUUUCUAGUACACAGAUGGUUCAGUGAGGCAGAGAAGUACUCAAGGUGUCUUCAAACAGACAUGACGUGCCACAAUAAAGGGUUUACGGAGCUCCGGAGGUGGAUACGGCAUUGUUUGAGGAGAGCUUUUGAGUGAUGGUGUUAACUUCCAGAAACAUUAAAACUGGUAAAUAUGAGCAUGUGUAGAUUUUGCUAUAUAUCCGUCGUAUAAAAAGACCUUUCUAUAAACCUCAAAUCUCACCCACGUAAGAUGUCAAAGUAAAGAUGCCGCAUACUUCUGAAGAUGCUGCUCCCGGUAUCACACUUAUCUACGUUUGGUGCAAUCUCGCUUAAUUUUUAUUUGAACAUGACCUUUCAGCUUAUAGAGAACAUCACAAUGAGAAAGAUUGACGUCACUCACUCGUAUAAAAAUAGAUAAAAUGUGAUAGAGAGCAGGAAAUUAUAAAAAUACCCCUAUAGAGAUGUGAAUAGCUCUCCCCUUCUCCUGGAAAUUCACAUCACUCCGCUCAUACAAGUGCUCCUCUUGGCUCCUCUGAGCACAAAUUUGGGUCUUACUCACAAUUUCAGACAUAAGAGAGAUAUGAGAAGGUUUGGAAAAGCUUUUUGGGGAUCAAGGAGGAAGAAGAUCACAAAAUACAGAAAAUCCUUCGGCGCCAACAACUUUCACGAUGACUAUAACGGGUACCUCUCUCAAUGUAAACACUAAAUAGACAUAUGUUCAUAUAGUUUUCUUGUCUUUGCAACCACUCCAAUCACUUUUGUCACAUUAACUGAUGGCAGAGAGGAUGGGACAUAGGAGGGGACAUUAACAUGCUGCUGACUGCGCCACCAGGAGUGAGUUUGAGAUCCUCUGAAGAUCGAUUAGACAUUAGACUGCAGCAGCCGGGAUCCUUCCAAUACAACAACAGAGCUUUUGCCUCUCCAGGUUACUAAUCAAUCCAACAUUCAUACUUUCUAGCCAGUUCUGUAACACAUGAUCUACCAGAGGUAGUAAACUUCAAAAUAAAAGCAUAGUUUGACAAUGCAAGAAUCAAAGCAACCUAAACGAAGUCUGAAAAAUACCAAAAUAAAAGCAUGACAAACAAUCUUUUAAUUGGGCAAUGUUGUCUCCAAGAAGUUUCAUUUAAGGAACAGAUGAUAAAUCAUGAGUCUGGAUAUGAUGGUGGCAUUUAAAGUAAUCGCAUCAAUCAGUUAAGAUUAUGAAGUUUCUUAUUACAGCCAUGAUAACAGUGAGGUGAAAAUCUGACAUCGUGAUAUCUCUAAUUCCAAUAUGUGAAUUGAAAAACCUAAAAAAUAAACUUGAUCUGCUUGUGGCGAGAAAAAAAACCUGCCAGCGCAACAAGUGAGAUUUUUUCCAUGUCAAGAAACUCCAGAAGCAUAAUCUGCUUCCUGCAGUGGCAGCUAUUUUUACUCAUAUUACACUGAGUUCUCCUUUUUGCUUUUAAUUUCUUGAGACCAGAUGCUAUGACAAGAACUCGCCUUAUAAUAUGGCUUGCAGAAGUUGCAUUUUGCUGCAGUCAUAAAGGAGAAACGAUCUGAGUCAUCUACGUUUGUUCAAGUGACGUACACAUAAUAGCUGCAAAGCAUUCUUCAGAUUCACAGCGUUUACUUCGCUUUAUUCCCUCUUUAACAGAUGCUUUGAUACACAAACAUAGAAAACACAGAUUCACAUUGAGUUGAAUGAAUUCCGCCUUAAGGUAAAUACUAAGCAGGUUGGAUUCAGGUGCAGAUUAUGUGGGGCUCAGUUUAAAUCUCAAUACAUCCCUGCAGACCCUCUGUUCCUUUAAAAAAAACACACGUUCCCAUAAAUUCUUAGGUCAAGGGAAACUCAUUUGAAAUGCAUCAGAUCUCAUAAUUCUUCCUCUUUAAUGAAUGAACUGUUGUGCCCAGAUAAAAAGCCGAGGAUAAGAUGGGUCGGUUUUACAGCGCAGUGUGCAUAACUUGACAUAGAUGAAUUUAACAGCUCCUCAUAAAUCAGGACAGUGUGCACCAGUUGUGCUGAACAUUACAACAGGGAGCUGUGCAUGGAUGCUCAGCACUCACAGAUUGGAAGCAUACACAAUUGUGCUGUUAAACAUCAAGGCCUUUGCAUUUAGUUAAAGGGGACGGACAUAUAAAUGUUUAAAGCAGGACUAUAAAUUAAGUACAGAGAGCCGUUUAAAGAGAGACAGCUCUGAGUGCCUGUGCAUGGGUGUUUGGGGAUUUGGGCUAUUAUUGGAAAUGUUGCUGUUUAGUUAGCUUUGAUAUGCUUUUAUCAGUUUUUCUUUGCAUUUUUAAGUCCUUCACUUGAAAAGCUGUGCUGAAAGAGAAAAGUUUGAGUAAAUCUCCAUCACUGCGUGGAAAAAUGUUCCCUUCAGGGCGGAUUUGCUUCUGUCGCCUCUGCAGCUUACAGUGUUGAUUUGCUGACCCUUGCUGCGUACACUGAUUACAUUUGCUAUGUUGUGUUGAUCCACAUUAAUUUCCCUUCAUUAGACAGAAGCUGGCACAAAUAGGAUCAAGUUAAUGGGAAAUACAGAGGUUGAGUCAUUUGAUUACCUGUGUACGACUUCUUGUAGUCUAUUUACCAACUGAAGAGGCUGAAAUAAACAACUAUCACCUUCACCUGCUGUCACCUCAUGUUAGUAUUUCUCUAUCUUUGCUUAUGACUUCACACAGAUUUGACUCCUCUUUCAAGAAAACACAUGGUUUCAUGUAUCACACUUUCAUUUUAAGUAAUACUCACCCUCUGUUUUGUUUGUUUUCUGAGCUCUCCAGACAAAAGGUUGACUUGUUGCUCAAAAUGGCCUCUUAAGCCCCGCCCACAGGAAGAGGAAGAGGAAGAGGGAGAAACCAUCAGAGGGAAUGAAAGGAAAGACUUCUCACUUUGAAGAAAAUCUUUAGUGGUUACUUUUGUUUCUUUAGUCAAAGACAAUUUACUUUUUUCUGUGAAUAAUUUAUUUGGAUAAGUUGGUUGUAAUGACUAUUUUUAAGGUUAUUGUCAUUUUAGGUUCCCCCUGUGUUUCUGUUGGACUAGCCCACAUGUCUUACUUGGGUUAGUUUAAGUUCUGUUUGGUUGUAGCUUUAGUUCUUUUCACUAACUCGAUCUCUCUUUGAUUAUUUCUUCUUUCUCUUACAUUACAUGAAGUUACUUUCGUCUGUCUCUGAUUUCUCAAACUCUGAUUAGACCCAGACCUUUGUCCUGUGCAUAAUUUCUUGGUCACAGUUAUACAUUUAUAUAUCUUAGUAACCUUUGCUGAUAUAAAAUAGCAAACAAAAUACAUCAUCCCUUGACUGCUUGCAUCUUUUGCAGGUGUUGUAUGGCGCUCACUCGUCUCCACCAAAGAGCGAUGUCAAGCGAAUGUGAACCCCCUAAUCUUCAGUGUUGGAUAAACAAAAGGAAAAAGAGGAAAAAAGGACACGAAGAGGACACAAACAGAAGCAGAACUUGUAAUAUGAUUUCCUCUCUGAAUUUGUCUUCACACUCUGGCUAACUUCUUUCCUGUCUUUAUUUUUCUGUCUCUCACAGUCUCCGUCCUCUCCUGUCUCUGUACUCUGAUCGUUUUCAUUGCUCUUCAGAAGAGUCCUCAAAUUAAAGCCCGCUGACGUCUUUGUAUCAUUCAUCAAAGCUGAUGUGUAUGCUUUAUAAAGCCUGAUGGGAAAUUGAAUGCAGAGAUGUGGAGAGUCAUUAUUUGUGUCACAUAAUGAGGUACUUUUUAUUUUCAACGAAUGUAUGUGAAAAUCAACAUCAUCUGCCCGGGUCUUUUAUUUCUGUAGAUAUUCAGAAUGUAUAUGAAGCCUCAUGGUUUAUGAAGGCUGGCUGCACUCGAAACCAGUGAUAAUUUCUGCAGCUUUUUUUGGAUUCAGACCUGGUUUUUUAACUAAAAUAAUUUUUAAUUUCUGUCACAUUUCACCAGUUUUGGUCCUAAAUAGUUUAAGUUGAAUUUUAGUCAACAAAAAGUCAAAACAUCUUCUGUCUGCAAGCUUGUUUUAGUGUUUAAAUCUACAGUGUGUCACUUUCUUAACACUAGGAUUGGUGUAAUAUCUGGAUGUCCUACCUUAUAUGAAUGAUUAAAAUUCUCCCACAAUGCAAUGCUGCUGCGCUGUCUCUGCUGAUCUACUAAGGUACUAUAAAGGAACGAUCUGUACUCUGAGUAAGUUUUACUUUCUGUUGUCAUGGAUAUCUUUGUAUUUUUUUAUUUCUUCUUUUUGUAGGGUUGGGGGGUGGGGGGUCCAGGGUAGAGACACUAGGGACACAUCCCUACCAAUAAUCAGCUGCUACAGUGAAGUCCCUAUCAAUACAACCACUGUCCAUAGUGUUUAAUCAAUGAUUAUGGCACACAAAGGGUUCACAGUCGGUCUCUGCUAAAAGUCCCGCUUCUAACCUAAAUAUCGCUCUUCAAUUGACUGCCGGUUUCUCGCUUACAUACAUGUGAUUAAAGUAAAAGUUACCUGAUAGCUGGACCGGAGGGGAGGCAGACAGUGCAUGUUAUCUGCAACCGCUAACUGUAAGAUGUCAACAUGACUGUGAUUGUUUGCUGUUAGAUCAGCUCUACAUGAUGCACAAUGAUGGUUGCAAAUGCAAAAAAACAAACUUUCAGGAGGACAAUUUUGUGUCCCCACCAAUGUCAAAAUCAAACCUCCUCCCUUGGCCCCUGAUAACCUUCAUUCCAAGAAACGUCUCUGGACAGACCCAGAAAGUUUCACUCUCAGCUUCAGACACUUAUCUUUAAUGAUUUGUAGUUUAUCCUUACCAAAACGUCUUGUUUAAUCGGCGCUCUGACUUAUCUCCGGAUUAGGAUAAAGCGAGGUUUGGACACAGAGCUGUUAACAGCGAGAGCAGGAACCUGGUAGCUGGGGGAUGAGGAGCUGGAGAGGAUUGAUUUUUUUUUUCCACUCUCAGUGCUGGUUAUGCCAAAGAUUUCCAUCUUGUCCUUUCUGGUCUAGACUGAGUCUCUUCCUGCUUUAGUCUUCUCCAUCUUGUCAGUGAUCUCAAACCGCUCUGGUCUCUGUUGAAGCUGUCUUGACUAAAACAUUUUCAAGAACUUUAGUUUACACCGUUCAAACACAAGCUGAACUGUGCUUUCCUCGUAUGGAAACAAUGCUUAGCUUGAACUCUGCUUGACAGUUAAAUUGAAUCAAUUAUCCUGCAAAUUUAUUUUCUAAGAAGUGCCCAAGCAAGAGGUUUUUUUUCUCCGUUAUGCUUUUAUUUUCACCGAUCUCUCUGUCUUUCACUCUACUUGAGUCUUUUAUUCUGCAUGUGUGAUUGCCAAACUGUGGAUGACCCACAUUAUGUUUUGUGCCUGAAAGCACUUGAUGUAGAGACAGAAUGCAGCAACAUGGACAAAGCACUAAAGCUGCUCCUAAUGCUGCUCGUGCUGCGUCCUCGAAGAAGACAGUCAGUUCAAAUGUUUGAGAUUUAGCAAGUAAAUGGAAGAAACGUAGGAAGAAAUGCCUGACGCCUCUUCAGGUUUAUAUCUCUGCUCAUCGCUGCUGCUGCUGAAAAAGUUUUAAAAAGGAGAUAUCAUGCACCACUAAAACAUGAAAAACAGUUAAGAUGUCACGCAAAGUAACCCUUCUAGUGUCACCUGUGUGUCUGUAUCUCUGUUUGGAGAUAACAAAAGCACAGAUCCUUUAUUAAAGGCUUGGGGGAAAUAUCGACGAAACAAUCUGACCUGCAGGUCCAUUUUUAAGUGCUCUGCAGAUUUAGAUCAUAUCACAUGAUCACAGCAGCCGUCUCUAUUUGUUUUUUUAUGUGUUAAGUGUUGCUGUUAAGUAGACAAGGAGGGCCUGACGAUAAAAUGAAGGCUGUCCUCCCAAGAAAAAACUGACAGCAUCAGUCAUCUGAGCAAGCGACAAAUAAAAACUUUAUGUUCAGGGACAAACAGCGCUGGUGGCUCUUUGAAUUAUGACUGUUGUCUAUGGGGAACAAAAGAGGAAAUUGUGUGAUGUUGUAAAUAGAGACAUGAAGUCUGCAGAGGAAAUGCCUAGAAGGAUGGAUGGAUGAGAAAAAUCUCAAUCAUUUAUACCCCCCAUCAGUUAAAGGUGCAGUCUGUAUUAAAGGGAUAUUCCGGCGUAAAAUUAAUUUAGGGUCAAACACACCAUAACACCGAGUUAGACACCCCCAUCGAGAGAUGAAUGUUUCAGACCGCUUGCUUCUCUAGUUAUACCAACUUUAAAAACGACUGCAGGAUAGCAAUACACAACAGUCUGAGGAGCCAUAAACAAACCUCAACCAAAACGCAGACCUGUUUGUAGCAGACCUCAGGCCAGUCCAUUAUGGAGUACUGCGGGGUGACACAGCUCAGGGAAGAACAUUUAUGAUCAUUACUUCAUGGAAAUGCAAUCAGACCGAGACGCUAAGACAGAAGAACUACCGCGUCUGCAGUGCAAAAUGAUUAACAUGGUGAUUAUUACUUCAAGGAAAUGAUAAAGAAAUUAUCAUAAAUGUUCUUCCUUGAGCUGCGUCACCCCACUGCAGUACGUUAUGGACUGGCCCAAAGUCUCGCUACAAACAAGUGGCUGCUGGAAGAGAGUAGGUGAGCUGUGUUUAGUCUCUUUGUUACAGAAAUCAGGCAAAGUUAAAAAGAUGUUUGGUGGCUAGUGCUGUGGCUAGGACCCUAUAUGUACUGUUGAUGAAGUUAGGUGCUGUUCUGAGCAUUAUUUGUGGCUAUAGAGUGGCAUUUUGGUUGAGGUUUGUUUAUGGCUCCUUAGACAGCUGUGUAUUGCUAUCCUGCGGUAGUUUCUAAAGUUGGUAUAACUAAAGAAGCAAGCCAUCAACAACAUUCACCUCUUGACAGGGUGUCAAACUCAGUGUUGCAGUGUGUUUAAACUAAUUUUACGCCCGACUAUCCCUUUAAAGCAAACCCGAUAGAAAUGCUGUAUUAUACUCAAAAAUAUGUUCUGUAAUUGCAUACUCAGUCAAAUAUAGAAAUAUUGUUAAAAUGUUUACUGCGAAUACUAACUUCUGGCAAAGUUACACAUUGUGAGGUAAACAUGAGUCAGCAUAAUCCCAGGAUGAGCCCUGCAGGCUGCAGAGCAGGGGUAGGAAAUCUCAGCCUUUUAUGCACAAAUCUUAACCCUUUUUCAGGAUGACACUCACAAUUACAAAAAGAAAGGAGGAUUGACCUCUCAGGUAAAGUCAAGAUACUUUAAAUUAUGCAAAGCUAUGGAGGAGAUAUCGUUUUCUAAGUACAAGAAAGUUUGCUGCAAGAGGUUUCGAGACGUCUACGAGCAGUGUGCUGUGAGCUGUAGGAGUGUGAUUUCAACAUACAACCCCAGGAAACAUACAUAAAGUAUAUGACCCAGAGGAGAAACAUUCUUAAGAACAUAAAAGCCUCUGAAAGGUCCCUUUAAUGCGUCGUAUUCAGAGAACCCGAGCAGCACAGAACCAUGGGAACAUACUAAAGUACCAAUGAGACCUACAUCUACUCAAGCACAGCAAUCAUUCUUCAGUUGUUCUUACUGACAAUGUUAAAAUGAUAUCUUACAGUGUAAUAAGUGAUCAACAGUGUUUCUAAUUAUGAUUUUAACCCUGUCAAUGAAACCCUCUGAAUGUCAUAACCUGACCUACAGAUUAUCAUGAAGAAAAAAAAAGGUACAGAGUGAGGACAACAGUUAUUAAAAAUGAACUCAUCUUAACACUUCUGCCGCCCUGAUGUUCAUGCCAAUAAGAUUCACCACAAACAGAUAACAUAUCAUCGGACAAAUAUGUCUGCUAAAUAUAACUAAAACAUUGUUAAUAUCUUUCCUAAAUAAAUACUUCAGGACAAAAGUCCAAUAUCUUGCAACAGAACUUUGAUCCAAAUUGGUUUCAGGCAUUCAAAUAAUUAUGAUAUAAACAUUGUUUAACUUCUCGCUGAUGGUCUUGUUUGUUUUAGUAUUUCAUCAAAAAGUAUUAAUAUGAUUUUCAGCUUAUUUCAUUAACAUAAAACAACUCUAAAAAUAUAUAUAUUUAUGUAACAUCAAAUAUAGGGUUUUCUUUUCAAACUGGACAAAGGGUUAACUAUUCAAACUAAACAUUAAAACUCCAGUAAAUAGGUUUUAUCUUACUAUAAAGCAAACUGAACUAUAAAAAACAGUUUAACUUUUUAUGAACGAAAAGGGCAAAUGAGCUUGUGACAACGUGACAGACCUCUUUAUAGUUAUUUUAAAACCUGUAAAAGAUGACAUGCAGUGAAUGUCAGACAGCGUGAUUAACAGCGUGGUGUCAAGACAGCCUUUUUUAGCAUUUCCAUGAAGGUACCGUUCACAUGUCCUAACUCUGUGAUGGAUGGUUUGAAGACAGUAGUGACGCAGGUUUUAUACAACCAUAAAUUUGAGUUACUGCAGGCGAAGUGAACUUAAUCCAGCUCUAAUGUUGUUUCCCCCUGAGAAGUGAUUAUGAAAUUAUUUGUUCUUAAAAAGAUAAAGACAGCAUGAGUGUAGCUUUUCACACAUUUGGUUUUGGUUAAAUGUUUGUGACUCAUUCUGAGAAGCAUUUUUCUACCACAAUGCUUUUUGAUGUUCAGAACAAACUUCAAACUCCAUUUAAAUCUCUUGUACAGUCUAAACCUGAGUUUUUCUGUGUUUUUCAAUGUUAGUUUGUUUGCAAAAACAUCUGAAUUUAGCUGCUGAACUAUGAACCUUUUUGGUCCGCAAUUAUCUUUAAACUGAUGGACCUCUUUAGAGUUUUUUUAACUCAUGAUUCAGGUCAGUCAGGAAGAAAAAUGGUGGAUUUUCAAAAAAAGAAAAAUUGUUUAUUGUGACAAAAUCAGCUCCAUGAUGACUUUUCAAGAAGGUGAUACUUCAACAACAAAAUUCCGAACACUCUGCUCUGGACAUGCUGUUUUGUAAUACCUGCAUGCUUAAAGGGGUAAUCCCAUUGGAAUAAACCUAUUUGGUAACUUUGCUGCAUGUUGGCCUUGUUUUUGAGAAUUCCAGCGUGGUUGUGUGACAUUUUGUUGAACAGGCCCCAUGUUGUAAAUGCAAAUAAAUUCCUGGCGUGGAAAAACAAAAGAGGAAAGUGUUCUUUUACCGCUAGCGUACAGAGGACAAAUAGGAGCAGGCAGCACUUUGACACUGAGACGGCACAGGGGAAAGUGGGAGUGUGGAGGUACAAAGGGCAGGUGGGGAGAUACAUUUACUUUUAACUACGGCAGCUCAGGUUAAAUGUCAGCAUGAGGCGAGCGUUCGCUGCUUAGAUCUGUCACCUCACAGCCGCCAGUGCGUUUCAUGUUCUGUGUGUGUCUGAGCGCGUUUCCUCCCACGGUCCAAAGACAUGCAGGUUAAGUGGAACGGAGGCUCACAGAUUGCCUUCAGGUGUGGAUGUGUUUGUCUGUCUGUGUGCGUUAGACCUGUGACAGACCGGUGACAUGUCCUGGCUCGGUCCUCACUCACAUUGUGACACAGGAGGUUAGAAAACAGAUAAAUAGAUUUGGGUUUUGUGGCAGAUCUGACAAAUAGCCUCAAGUGUUGUCACUGACCGUAAUGUUCGCAAUCAGUUUGAAUUAUGGGUAUUGUAGGCACCAGGAUUUGAUAAUAAAAGAAGAAUAUGCGCAACAAAAAAAUCUGAUAUCUCUCAAUAGGAUGAAUUUUGUUCCUAUAUUUCACAAUGUCCGCCCACAGCCUCAUUUUCACAUCUAGUAUUCCUGCACCAUCCUAUGCGCUUCCUGUUGCCAGGUUACAAAGGUUGUCCUGUGGCACUUCUGCUCCUCUCAGAGGAAGUUGGGACUAUAGUCAGUUUUAAAAUGUUUUGUUAUUUGCUUUCAUUCAACCGUUUUUUUAACACAAAAAUAUGAAAACAAAUGAUACAAACUGUGUCCUUGUGUUUGCAGCAGGUAAAGAACUGAAAAACGCAGAAGUGUCUUCCUCCUCCUGUCGUACAUGCAGUAGGGGAGAGUGGGGUAAGAUGAGCCAUUUUUCAUAUUUCGGAUCACUGCAUCAUGACAAUCAUAGUUUUGUCUCUAACUGGUGUAUCUGUAUAUAUUUCAAGAUGUUGUUCGUCCCUGCAAACCAACAGAAUGAGUGUAAACAGAACUGUCUUGAUAAUAUGGCAUGCCAAAAACAAGUGCUCUCCUAUGGUCAACUUACCCCGUGUAUGGGGUACUCAAUCAUAUCCCACUUUACAUCGGGUCCUUUAAACAGAGUGUGGACUGGACCUGCUUUUUUGUUGUGCACUAUCUGAGUAAAGAUUGAUGGACUGAUUAAAGACGACUACUUCUUUCUGUGUUUGUUACUGCUCAUAUUAGUCUGUAGGUUAGUCAUCCAUUUCUUUCAGGCGUCUGUGAAUUGUCUUCAGCUUCACCAAAGAUUCAUUUCCCCUCUAUUUGGUUUAACUCAAAUGUGUAUUUAAAGCCAAGAGGGAUUAGAUUUUAAACUCGCAAAUCCCAGCGGGGAUCCAGCCUAAAGUUAGAAAUCCAGUGCAAUAAACUAUUAAACUCUGUUGUUUGAGUUGGACCUUUAAAGAUUUAGACAUGCAGUAGAAUUUAAUCCAGUUAAGCCUGUCGAGAAAAUCCAAAACAAAGUGUCCAGCAGUUAUAAAAAGCAGCAAAAUGGUGUUGAAUGUAGAACAAUGAGUGCUUUCUGUACAGCCUGGUUGUGUCACAGUAUUUAACAUUCAACUUGAAGCUCUAUUGCUUUAUGUAUUAACUGCACUCUCUCUGAUUGCGGUAAAAGUCAAUUAAAGGGGAUUCUGUUCAGGAUUGUUUGGACACAAGUCAACUACUCGCCUGCUUCAAAAAGCCCCGAACAGCACACUAUAGCUCUUUAGUUUUACUGCAAAUCCUGUGCUGCAAUACUGACCAAGCAGAGCCAAUUCAGGGAGGCAGAGACUGGAGACAAUGAAGGGCACCUUCACCUCCCAAAGCAUUCAGUUACAAAGAGACUCUUACCUGCUGCUGCUUUAAAUGCAAACCUGAUAAUCAAAUGCAGCAUUUAGGGGGAUAUUGUUGAUGAGAAAUCAUGAGUGUGACUGUGAGAGGGGCAGCUGGUUUUCAUAAGGGCUCAUUGUUUUCAGUAUUCAGCGCUGAUUUGCAGCACAACAAGCAGAUUUAACCUCUUUUUCACAGAGAGCGUCAGUGCCCACAUACAGACGAGCUGCUGUGUUUCCAGCUGCAUGGAGACAAUGAUCACCGCAGCUUACAGCAAGUAAAGGUCCGUGCGGUUCACUGUUCACAAAACGUUCUCGUUGUUCGGUGAUUUUAAGAAGGGAAAUGAGGAAAAAUGAGCUGCUGGUUAUGCACAAAAAACUUUCCCGGUGUGAAGUACAAUAGAUGUUCAAAUUGCUGUGCUUCUGAUAAAAGCUAUUUUUAAAUCCUGUUUUUACCGAGAGUUUUAUUUUGAUCUUUUUUCCUAACAGGAACACUAUUCACUGUUACAAAAAAAGUUUAAAAACAUUUAUAUAAUUGAUCUCUCCCUCUGUGUUCACAAGCAGCUUGUAGUUUUACACUAAAACCUCAAAAUCCACGAGUUCAACCUGACAAAAUAAACUCUGCAGCAGUAAAUGUUUUUAUAUCAAUAUUCAGUUACUGCUUUAAACAAAUAUCUAUGUUUAAGUGCUGCUAACAGCCUGCAACAUUCAACUCUAACUUGAUUCCUAACGUCUUAAAUCCUGGUCAGACAGGAAAAAGAGGCUGUGCAGAGCCUUGGCCAGGAAUCCUUAAUGCUAGAGACAUCUAAAAGACAUCUGUUGAUGAGAUGUAAAACAAUUGUUCAAAAGAGAAAAGUGAGUGUCAACGCCAGCCCCGAUGUUGGUCUAAAAGGAUCGUUUUAAUUUAACAAAAAAAUCAUAAUAAGAUGUGCUUUGCUAAAUACAGACUGCUCCUUUAAGACCAGAUUUCACGUGGCUGUUGGUACAACAUUCACACACAUAUUAGUGGAGACUUUCAAUGAGCAUCAUUUAGAUAUUGCAGCUGAAAUUGAUGUUUUAAAGCACACCUUAAAAUGCACUAAAGUCGCCAAUAUGAUGCCGGAGUGGAAAUCUGGUUCACAGCCUCCUCGGCCCUGAAAGAGACAAGGUUGAGGAGAACAGGUCCUGAUCCAGAACAAUAAUCUGUCGACUUCACUGACAGAGAUAUCUCUGAGAGUCUUCACAGACUUUAUUAAAAAAAAAAAUAAUGAUAACUUCAGAAUUUCAAAUACUUAAUUUUAUUAAUGUGAAUGCAAAAAAUGACAAAAUGUAUUCAGACACAACGACGUCGAAAUCGUUUGUCAUUAAAGCUCCAGUGAGGAAUUUUUGGUUUGUCUAAAUUUCGGCGCCUCCUGUACUCAGAGCAGACUUUUACUUUCAUGUCUUUUACAUGUUUGAGCAUUAUUUCUCCCACAAAAUCUCAUUCAGCUGACUUUUUAAAGUUAAAUCAAUCAUUUAUUGUGAAUGUUUUAUGUAGAAAUUGUGAAAACAUGGUUGCUUCUGUCGCUGCUUGGCUGACACCUCCCCUCACACUGACUUAAGGCAACUAAAGACACAGUACAAGAAUGAUCAAUGGUUUUCUUUGCUUUUGUAAUUCAUAAAAAGGUAUCGAUAUGAAUUCCAGACUGUUUCAUAAACAUAAAAAUAUCCUAACAGGAGCUUUAACUCUGCAGUGAUAAACACAGUAUACAUUUUGCAUCAAAUUGAAUCAAAGAGAUCUCGCUUUUGCUUUUGAGAAGAAGCUCUUUCGCAGUUUGAUGUUGAUCAGACUUAAAAAGCAAAAAGGUUGUAAAUAGGUGAGUUUCUUAAGACAACCUUUAUUUGUCUGUAAAAAUAGUUCAACAUACAUCAUGUACUAGAAGAAGGCCAAAGGGGAAAAAAUAGUACGAGUUCAUGGUACUCAUCUUCAUUUUCUGCUCUUCGUCUCCAGUGUGACGACAGCUGAAAACAGGCGACGCUGUCAGGGACCUUGAAGACCGAACCUCAGCCCUGGCGGUAUGACGAGCCGUGAAGCAGGCCGUGUUGCUUGGUUUCAGCUCACAAUGCGGCGACGAGCGGCCCUGACGCAUUAACAAAUGAAGACGGAUUGCGUAUGAUGACACGAGUCGGGUUUAAUUCUCUCUUUGCUGAGAGCGGAGAAAGAGCUGAGGGAGGGAGCUGUAACUGGAGCGCUGGAAGUUAACUGAACAUGUAACAAAGCCCAGAGGUGUGGCUUUGAUCUUCAGUGAUGCUCGCUUUCCUGCACUCAGGUGGCCUUUUCCACAGCACCUCUGGAAAAAAAACUCCAUCUCACACACUAAAUGAGCAGCUCCUGAAGUCCCUCUUGAAUCUGGAGGAUGAAACACACAGACAAAGCAGCAUUAGUCUUCUCUGUUGUCUCGGUUUUACAUAAGAGAGGAGCCACGUGCUGCUGCUGACGGAGGCCUGCAUGCAUUGUAAAUCUCUUAUCUCUGCGCAGCACAGGUGGGGUCAGCUCGUUUCCUCUGCAAUCAAUUCAAGAUGUCAGCAGAAAUUCUGCUUUAUUUUCCUCCGAUGGAACAUUCGCUCUUAUUUAUUUGUCAGCGGGUUGGAUAUACGGCGAGCCGGGACUCCUGUCGCCUGCAAACAACACAACUGCUUCUUUCAGCACAACAUGCUUCUGUCAACAGGCCUGAAUUCUGAGCUAUACCGACCUUGGUGUAUGUUUUAUAAGACCUAUAGCCCACAAAAAUACGACCAUUGUUGUAUUUGUACAUCAUUCAAAUCAUUGCUUUCUAAGCUUACCUGACAUCCUGCAGGCGAACACUAACCCUUACUUUUUUGAAACACGGACAAACUUUGACUCAUCACCAACCUUCGGUAAACUGAUGUGUUUUUCUGUCAGCUCAUAUAGAUCCUCCUCUCACACACGUACAGAAACUCACCACCAUUUUUUGUUUGCUUGUUUAAUCCUGUUGUUUACUCAAGACUCCUCGGAGCCUCUUCCUUUGGCAGACUCUAUAUGGUGUGUUUUGAACUAGUGUGAGCGUAUGAGAGGAGGUAGAAAAACACAGUCUCUCUAGCUGAUGCUACCUCUGUGUGCACAUUAAACAGCCUCGGGUUAUCACCCAUGCUCCAUACUUACUACAGACUCAACAGCUGCUGGAUCACUGAAACUCCUACAUGAUAUAUUUGAAAAUAAAGUUUAUAAUGCUGGAUUCACUCCUGCUGCAGCCACCAGCUUCAUGAUUACAAAUAACAACCGGCUUUUCACUACUGUACAACUCAGAGGAGGGUUUUCUUUUGACUCUGAAACUGGUUUCUUUGUUGGGCUCGUUCACUCAGAUUCAGCUUCAAAAGAUGCGAAAAAACAAUCAAUCAAAAAUCUCUAACUCAGCACACAAAUGUGUUUCUGAGCUCUGAGACGUUUGUUCAUGUUGUCCAUUGUGUUGAACACAUUUCUUUUCUUCUGAGUGGAGCUGGUCUGGUCUUUGUGGGGUUGGAGAUCAUCAGGGUCUGUCGGGCUAACUCGAACACAAACAGAAAGUUGUUCACAGCUUGAUUCGAGGACAUCAGGGACAGACAGUACUGCCAUCAACAACAGAUGAAGUUGGAGUGUAGCAGAGCUGAGGGGUCUGUACCAUCUGGACUUCAUGGAUGUAAGGCCUGUUGUACUGAACAAGUUGCGGGGCGAUGUAAACAUAGUACUUCAGAAAAUAACUUGGCUCGAAAGCCAGUUUGUUCAAUCGGUGAAAGGGCGAGUCUCAGGGGGGAAACUGCACACAGCAGCUCAUGAGUGCGGCGACUUGGAGACUCUGCAGAGUGAGAUUAUUUCAAACCCUGCAUACUUGGACGCAGUAAGAUGAUUAAAUGGUAAAACAUACUUGGAGGCUUAUGUUUGAGUGAGAAGAAAUUACCAUCCACAGAUUGUAUAUAGAAUGGACACCGUCUGUCUCCCCCCUUGAUGAUGCCACCCUGAGAACAGCACCCUCUGGUGACGGGCUGCAGUAUAGGUCAUAAAUCCCGCCUCUUCCAGCAAGCCCUAUGGAGCUGUGGAAAAAAUUUUGAAAUUUAUUACACAGAAUAUAAAUUUUUCUCCUCCCUUGCUUGCGAUGUCGACAUGUAGCUACUGUAAGACUGGUUUGUGCUCAAGUCCUCUGUUUUCUGUGCAGCUCCAUUUUUAAAAGUUAUUAGGGGUUUAUGGAGAACAUCUCCGAAAUACCGAGAGCAAUUCGGCAUCAAAUUCAUAUAAUGACAGAAGGCGGAGCCAAGUGGUACACUGUUUAUACAGUCUAUGUUACCAUCCUUAGCACAUCCCACACUUAAAAAUGCAUCUGAAACAUUUAAAUUAUAGUACGUACAAACUAUAUUCUAAUCAUUUCAUUGUAUUUUAUCACUGAUCGACUUUUUUAUAAUCUCAUCUUCAUGUUGUUCUUGUCUGUUCUGUUUUCCAGUAUCUUGUAUGCUCGUGUGGCUUCUUUGGAACAAGACCAGUUGAUCAAAUAAACCACAACUGCACCACGACUGCUGUACUGGACCUCACUGACCCACACAUUCAGUAAUCUGUGUGAAAAGGGAAAAAAAAGUGCUAGUUUCUGUUGAGACACUGACUCUAGUUUGGCAGCAGACUUUCCACCCAGAUGGACACCUUCCCAUCACCAGACUGCACAAUACUGCAGUGAUGUCAUCCUCUAUCUGUG
Molecule: non-coding RNA, 32428 nt
Organism: Xyrichtys novacula (pearly razorfish)
Lineage: Eukaryota; Metazoa; Chordata; Actinopteri; Labriformes; Labridae
Source: the annotation of a GenBank genome assembly